Molecule: ribosomal RNA, 1503 nt
Filed under: metagenome
Description: bacterial SSU rRNA
Rfam family: Bacterial small subunit ribosomal RNA
Source: RNAcentral
AGAGUUUGAUCCUGGCUCAGAUUGAACGCUGGCGGUAUGCUUAACACAUGCAAGUCGAACGGUAACAGGAGAGAGCUUGCUCUCUUGCUGACGAGUGGCGGACGGGUGAGUAACGCGUAGGAAUCUGCCUAGUAGUGGGGGACAACUCGGGGAAACUCGAGCUAAUACCGCAUACGCCCUACGGGGGAAAGCGGGGGAUCCUCGGACCCCGCGCUAUUAGAUGAGCCUGCGUUGGAUUAGCUUGUUGGUGAGGUAAUGGCUCACCAAGGCGACGAUCCAUAGCUGGUCUGAGAGGACGAUCAGCCACACUGGGACUGAAACACGGCCCAGACUCCUACGGGAGGCAGCAGUGGGGAAUAUUGGACAAUGGGGGCAACCCUGAUCCAGCAAUACCGCGUGUGUGAAGAAGGCCUGCGGGUUGUAAAGCACUUUCAAUUGGGAAGAAAAGCUUGGGGAUAAUACCCCCGAGUCUUGACGUUACCUUUAGAAGAAGCACCGGCUAACUCCGUGCCAGCAGCCGCGGUAAUACGGAGGGUGCAAGCGUUAAUCGGAAUUACUGGGCGUAAAGCGCGCGUAGGUGGUUUAGUAAGUCAGAUGUGAAAGCCCUGGGCUCAACCUGGGAACUGCAUUUGAUACUGCUUGACUAGAGUAUGGUAGAGGGAAGUGGAAUUCCGGGUGUAGCGGUGAAAUGCGUAGAUAUCCGGAGGAACAUCAGUGACGAAGGCGACUUCCUGGACCAAUACUGACACUGAGGUGCGAAAGCGUGGGUAGCAAACAGGAUUAGAUACCCUGGUAGUCCACGCCGUAAACGAUGUCAACUAGCCGUUGGACUCAUUAUAAGGGUUUAGUGGCGAAGCUAACGCGAUAAGUUGACCGCCUGGGGAGUACGGCCGCAAGGUUAAAACCCAAAGGAAUUGACGGGGGCCCGCACAAGCGGUGGAGCAUGUGGUUUAAUUCGAUGCAACGCGAAGAACCUUACCAGCCCUUGACAUCCUCGGAACUUACUAGAGAUAGUUUGGUGCCUUCGGGAGCCGAGUGACAGGUGCUGCAUGGCUGUCGUCAGCUCGUGUCGUGAGAUGUUGGGUUAAGUCCCGUAACGAGUGCAACCCUUGUCCUUAGUUGCCAGCACAUAAUGGUGGGAACUCUAGGGAGACUGCCGGUGACAAACCGGAGGAAGGUGGGGAUGACGUCAAGUCAUCAUGGCCCUUAUGGGCUGGGCUACACACGUGCUACAAUGGCCGGUACAGAGGGCAGCCAACCCGCGAGGGGGAGCCAAUCUCAGAAAACCGGUCGUAGUCCGGAUUGCAGUCUGCAACUCGACUGCAUGAAGUCGGAAUCGCUAGUAAUCGCGAAUCAGCAUGUCGCGGUGAAUACGUUCCCGGGCCUUGUACACACCGCCCGUCACACCAUGGGAGUGGGUUGCAAAAGAAGUAGGUAGCUUAACCUUCGGGAGGGCGCUUACCACUUUGUGAUUCAUGACUGGGGUGAAGUCGUAACAAGGUA